RNAcentral lists this small RNA (171 nucleotides) under Serinus canaria (Common canary). RNAcentral describes it as "TUC338 (ENSSCAG00000014313.1)". Lineage: Eukaryota; Metazoa; Chordata; Aves; Passeriformes; Fringillidae. The record is from RNAcentral.
CUGACAGACCUGCAGACCACAGUCCUUCAGUCACCUGGAACAAGAACAGGCAGACUGCAGCCAUGCACACAGCCCCACGUUAGCCCAAUAAGUCUCGACCCUGCUCUGAAGGAAUCGCCACUACAGAAAAGAGAUAGUUUGGUCUUCAUGCCCAUUUAAUCCUUCACCUGC